UCUCGGGAGAUACCGUGAGUGGUACAUA
This 28-nucleotide small RNA is filed under the name Bombyx mori (domestic silkworm). Its description in RNAcentral is "ovarian small RNA-29768". Lineage: Eukaryota; Metazoa; Arthropoda; Insecta; Lepidoptera; Bombycidae. The record is from RNAcentral.